This 383-nucleotide ribosomal RNA is filed under the name uncultured eukaryote. RNAcentral describes it as "partial 18S ribosomal RNA". It matches the Rfam family "Eukaryotic small subunit ribosomal RNA", at positions 592 to 976 of the family's 1831-position model. The record is from RNAcentral.
CAAUAGCGUAUAUUAAAGUUGUUGCAGUUAAAAAGCUCGUAGUUGGAUUUCUGGUAGGAGCGACCGUGCCGAACUUGAUUGUUCGAGUAUUGUGUUGUCUUCAGCCAUCCUCGUGGAGAACUUUUCUAACAUUAACUUGUUGGGAUUGGGACCCGCGUCGUUUACUGUGAAAAAAUUAGAGUGUUUAAAGCAGGCAUUAGCUUGAAUACAUUAGCAUGGAAUAAUAAGAUAGGACUUUGGUACUAUUUUGUUGGUUUGCACACCAAAUUAAUGAUCAACAGGAACAGUUUGAGGAUAUUCGUAUGAACAUGUCAGAGGUGAAAUUCUUGGAUUUUGAUCAGACGAACUACUGCGAAAGCAUUUAUCAAGGAUGUUUUCAUUAA